UGUCCACCUAGAAUAAUUUGUUUGCUGGAAGUUCUGUUGUUGGCAGAAAAUGGAAGCUACAAACUAGUGUGGUUAUCAGCAGGGAAUGGGAUCAAAGUUUCAGUCCAACAAGUCCAGGCAACUUUCAGCUUGAAGGCCAAGGUGUUACUACUUAGAAUUUAGGGCACAGAAGGCUGGUGUGUGUCGGCAGUGAUAUUUGGGAGAAUGAGUCUGUUUGGGAGACACUUUAGGUCAUACCAGGACUCAGGGGCCUGGACUUCUCCAAAUGAUCUCUCCAGCAGAGAGGCUGGACAUCUUCUAUAGCACCUCAGGGCUCCUAAGAACGCGGAAGUAGGAGUUGCCAGGUCUUAUUAAGACUGAGUCCUGAAACAGGUGCAGCAUCACUUCCACUGCACUCUCUUGGUUAAAGCAAGUCACAUACCCAACCCAGAGUGGAGUACAUGAGGUCCUGACUUCCAGGAGGUGUGUACACCAGGAGGGGUGUUUCACUGGGGGCCAUCAAUGUAAUGAACUGUCAUAGCAAGUGAGGCAGAGCAUUGAUUCUAGCAAUUCUUUUAGAGACUCUGAGACCCUUGGAGACAGAACUGUAGAGAUCAUCUAGCCCAACUCAUUGAGGAAACGGAGGUCCUGAUGACUACUGUCCACAGGGGCCGUGUGGAUGCUCUGGGUUUUCGCUUAAAGAAGUGACAAGUUAAGGAACCAUAUAUAUUUUGUAGAGAAAAAGGUCUUGAAAUGGUAGUGGCCAAUUUUCAAAAAUUUCAAAUAGUUUAAGAACAUCAACCAGACUGCUGUGUUGAGAAGAAUACAGACACUGCAUUCAGAUUCAGUGAGAAAGAGUGCUUUGAUCAACUAAUAUUUUCUGCAGUGGUCCAUCCAUGUGUGUUG
Molecule: long non-coding RNA, 885 nt
Filed under: Homo sapiens (human)
Lineage: Eukaryota; Metazoa; Chordata; Mammalia; Primates; Hominidae
Description: HSALNT0079350
Source: RNAcentral